GUAAAUAUAGUUUACUAAAAACCUUAGAUUGUGAAUCUAAAAACAAGGAUUAAUCCCCUUAAUUUACC
Molecule: transfer RNA, 68 nt
Filed under: Gegeneophis ramaswamii (Tenmalai caecilian)
Lineage: Eukaryota; Metazoa; Chordata; Amphibia; Gymnophiona; Indotyphlidae
Description: tRNA-His
Rfam family: tRNA
About the family: Transfer RNA (tRNA) molecules are approximately 80 nucleotides in length. Their secondary structure includes four short double-helical elements and three loops (D, anti-codon, and T loops).
Source: RNAcentral